Long non-coding RNA from Tripterygium wilfordii, 641 nucleotides. RefSeq lists it as uncharacterized. The record is from RefSeq and is a predicted model, not a curated record. NCBI's taxonomy places the organism in Eukaryota, Viridiplantae, Streptophyta, Magnoliopsida, Celastrales, Celastraceae. The transcript is spliced from 2 exons.
AAGCAAAUUCAAAAAUCAAAAACCAAACCCUACAAAUCACUUCUCUCUCUCCUCAAUUUUACUUUUCUCUCUCCUCUCUCUCUUCUUCUCCUUUCUCUCACGCGAUUCUCUCAUUUCUCUCACGUCCAAUAACGGACCUCUGCCGUCCGGCCACCGAUAUGAACGCCGUUGCAGCCAAAAGAAGCGUCCGGCCACCAGGAGCAAUGCCCAGCCACCACUUGACGUCACCGGUUGUUGAUUUUGUCGGAAAUCCACCAUGAAGCCAUGGGUAUCCACCAAACAAAAUUCAUAGAUCCGGUUGAUUCCGAUGUCGAUUUGACAGCCCGACACCACCAAUGGACUCCCCUACGUGAGGAGCACUUAGCCCACCCCUUCGUCGACCGAAACGGCCACCGGAAUCGGAGACCCACGUCGAAGGUUGCAAUUUCUCCUGGUUUGCUCAUUCUUACCCUUUUGAAGUUGUUUGAAGGACUUGAUUAGUUUGAAGGUGUUGGUUCAGGUCAUGGGUAUAUAUACAGAGUUAAAUACACUUUGAAUUCGCAAUGUAAUUAUGAUUUUGGUGUAAAUUCAUUUUGAUUUACAUUGUUGCUGCCAGACAAGGUAAUUGAGUUGUUAUUUACAAUUAUAAAUGAGUUUGUCAA